UAUUCUACUUAUGAUAAAGAAUUAUAUGCUCUUGUUCGGACUUUAGAAACAUGGCAACAUUAUUUAUGGCCCAAAGAAUUUGUUAUACAUUCUGAUCAUGAAUCUUUGAAACACAUUAAACGUCAAGCAAAACUGAACCAUAGACAUGCUAAAUGGGUUGAAUUCAUUGAGACUUUCCCUUAUGUCAUUAAACACAAGAAGGGUAAAGAAAAUGUUAUUGUUGAUGCAUUGUCUCGUCGUUAUCUAUGCUUUCACAACUUGACUUUAAAAUAUUUGGUUUGGAGACCAUCAAAGAUCAAUAUGUGCAUGAUGCUGAAUUUAAAGAUGUAUUGCAGAAUUGUAAAGAAGGUAGAACAUGGAACAAGUUCG
This 369-nucleotide ribosomal RNA is filed under the name Triticum aestivum (bread wheat). Its description in RNAcentral is "partial small subunit ribosomal RNA". The record is from RNAcentral. Lineage: Eukaryota; Viridiplantae; Streptophyta; Magnoliopsida; Poales; Poaceae.